This 326-nucleotide ribosomal RNA is filed under the name uncultured eukaryote. Its description in RNAcentral is "partial 18S ribosomal RNA". It matches the Rfam family "Eukaryotic small subunit ribosomal RNA", at positions 1470 to 1796 of the family's 1831-position model. The record is from RNAcentral.
UCCUUAGAUGUUCUGGGCCGCACGCGCGCUACACUGAUGCAUUCAACAAGCCUAGCCUUGACCGAGAGGUCCGGGUAAUCUUUGAAACUGCAUCGUGAUGGGGCUAGAUUGUUGCAAUUAUUAAUCUUCAACGAGGAAUGCCUAGUAAGCGUGAUUCAUCAAAUCGCGUUGAUUACGUCCCUGCCCUUUGUACACACCGCCCGUCGCUCCUACCGAUUGAAUGUGUUGGUGAGGAGCUCGGAUUGGCAGCAGUUGGUGGUUCGCCACCGGCUAUUGCUGAGAAGUCCUCCAAACCGCCCCAUUUAGAGGAAGGAGAAGUCGUAACA